RNAcentral lists this ribosomal RNA (446 nucleotides) under uncultured bacterium. RNAcentral's name for it is "partial 16S ribosomal RNA". It matches the Rfam family "Bacterial small subunit ribosomal RNA", at positions 338 to 795 of the family's 1533-position model. The record is from RNAcentral.
CCUACGGGCGGCAGCAGUCGAGAAUCAUUCACAAUGGGGGAAACCCUGAUGGUGCGACGCCGCGUGGGGGAAUGAAGGUCUUCGGAUUGUAAACCCCUGUCAUGUGGGAGCAAAUUAAAAAGAUAGUACCACAAGAGGAAGAGACGGCUAACUCUGUGCCAGCAGCCGCGGUAAUACAGAGGUCUCAAGCGUUGUUCGGAAUCACUGGGCGUAAGGCGUGCGUAGGCGGUUUCGUAAGUCGUGUGUGAAAGGCGCGGGCUCAACCCGCGGACGGCACAUGAUACUGCGAGACUAGAGUAAUGGAGGGGGAACCGGAAUUCUCGGGGUAGCAGUGAAAUGCGUAGAUAUCGAGAGGAACACUCGUGGCGAAGGCGGGUUCCUGGACAUUAACUGACGCUGAGGCACGAAGGCCAGGGGAGCGAAAGGGAUUAGAUACCCUUGUAGUC